UCUGAGCUUUUGGGAAUAACCAUUAUCAG
RNAcentral lists this non-coding RNA (29 nucleotides) under Rattus norvegicus (Norway rat). The record is from RNAcentral. Lineage: Eukaryota; Metazoa; Chordata; Mammalia; Rodentia; Muridae.